GCCAGGGCUCGUGACACUGACGACUUACCGACACCGA
RNAcentral lists this small RNA (37 nucleotides) under Propionibacterium ruminifibrarum. Its description in RNAcentral is "Propionibacterium sp. JV5 CRISPR_Spacer". Lineage: Bacteria; Bacillati; Actinomycetota; Actinomycetes; Propionibacteriales; Propionibacteriaceae. The record is from RNAcentral.